UGAACCAGAAAAGCUUCCCCAGCAGUCAGAUGGCUAGUCAUGAACACCGUCGACCACACAGUACACGCCACCUCCGGCAAGCUCGCCGCUUCCUCCAACGACACUCCCUCCGGCACCGGCAGCACCUGAUCCGCCGGUACCGCUACCUUCUCCGCAUACCCUCCUUGGUUAAGAAGAGCACACACCUGAUCCCCGACCUUCCAGCGAGCCACCGAUCCACCGACGGCGAUCACGGUGCCGGAGCACUCGAACCCGAGGUAGGGG
This 264-nucleotide unclassified non-coding RNA is filed under the name Hevea brasiliensis (rubber tree). The record is from RNAcentral. Lineage: Eukaryota; Viridiplantae; Streptophyta; Magnoliopsida; Malpighiales; Euphorbiaceae.